UAAAAAGUAAUUAACCCAUGCCGGGAGGAAAAAAAUCAGGGUAGGGAGCGAAAAAGCUGACAAUACAUGUAUUAAAAAUUGUUUUAAGUACAUAUAGAGAGAGGGGAAAGAAGAGAAAUGGAGCACAGAUUCGACAGGUCCAGGGCUUCAGCAUUCAGGCCCAAAGGGCCGUGACCAGCACAACCCUACCCACUACCCAGAGCUCGCAGAGCACCGGGCAGAGAAAGAAGACGAAUUCCUCGGUUCCCUGGAGGAGGCGUCAGCGAGUCCUCUCCGGCGUCUUCUCUGCGUCCCUUCCCCGCGCCGAGCCAUUCCCGCCCCGUACUACUUCUCGCGAGGACGUUGUAGCGCCACCCUUGCCGUUGCCGCCGCAGCAGCUAGGGAUUCGGCGGUGAAAGGAAGCGUGGACAGUAAUGCAGCCGAGGAAGUCAGGAACAUUCUGGAUAUGGCAGAAAGGGCUUCCCAACGAAGAGAUGUUUUCCACACCAAUUUUCUUACUCCACCUAUAAUAAAGGUGGCUAUGAUGGCAAUUGAGAAGUAAGCAGAUAUAAAAGCAGUAGCUCAGGGUGGCUACCCACAGGCCGAGCGGUGCCGAAUUUUUGUUGGACACCCAGAUUCUAUGACAAGUAACACAGAUGUAGUUGCUGCUUUGAGGUUUUCUCAGUUUUACCUUAUAAGCUCUGCCAUCUGCUAUAUAAGCUGAUUUUGAGGCCAACCCAGCAUCUCAGGUAAUUUCCGAUUGGAACCCUGUUCGCAUGGUGACUUUCUUGGUGCUAUUCUCGGGACAGGAAUAACAAGGGAGAAAGUUGGAGAUAUUCUUUUGCAGGGGGAAAGAGGUGCUGAGGUCCUUGUUGAUCCAGAACUUGUUGACUAUCUGAUUUCCACUCUCGAAAAGGUGGGGAAAGUUGGUGUUUCAUGCACUCAAAUUCCUUUGCUUGCUCUAGAAUAUGAACCACCAAGGUUUGCUCAUGACCAAGUCAUUUAAAACUGUAGAAUCAUCGCUCAGGGUUGAUGCCCUGACCAGCGCUGGAUUUAAAAUCUCACGCACAAAGCUUGCUAGCUUGAUAAGUGCCGGGGAUGUUCGUGUGAAUUGGACACCAGCUUUGAAAAAUGGAGUUACCCUCAAAUCAGGAGACAUCGUUUCUGUCAGUGGGAUGGGAAGGUUAAAGUUAGUCCAGCUUCAAAUGAUGUGUUGUUAUUCCAACCGAGAUUCUUGUCAUGCAACAGGUAGUCCAGCAAUCGGUGCCUUUGAGCCCAUGCCGUGUUAGUGCAUGCAUGGGGUGGUGUAGAGUUUUUUGGGCAGCACUUUCGUGCAUUGCCCCCGAGGUCCCAACAUUCUUGCCAAAUACCACCUUCUUAGCAGCACAUGCAUGUGUUAUCGACUCGACAUCAUUAAGGGUCUUCGAGUGCUGGUCGCACGGUUGUACUGUUUUCCAGAUAGGCCUGUGAAGUUGAGGUUUCAGACACAGGGCACUUGAUCUAUGUGGUUGAACAAUGCCACGACUUCAAGAUGACAUGUUCAAAGAUACAAUGCCACGACUUCAAGAUGACAUGUUCAAAGAUCGUACAGUGCUGCUUUCAUGGUUUGCAUCAUGUUCCAGUCGAGCCACGUCCUUAGCAUGUGCCUUCACCUCCAUGUUCAAAUGGGCAACCGGUACAUCAAUCAUCAUGUCCUCAUGUUUGUGCUCAAGUGUGGUGGAAAAACUCCUCCUGGAUCGGGGUAGCUUGGCAAUAAUGCCCCUACUGCAAACUUGGCACCAACAUUGGCACCAUAUUGAGCCAUCUCACCCAUGAUCGCUGUGAUGUCAUGAGCCUGCUUCACCACCCAUUGGUUGUUGGCCACCUUGAAAUUGUGGUAUUGUUCAACCGCAGAUUUACCAUCCAGUGCCUCCUGUAGCUCCUUGGCACUUGUUAAGGUGUCGAAUACAAAAUAGAGUUUUAGAGCUAGUCAGAUAAAGAGCACCAAAAUGAUACCCAAGUCUAUAUUGUUUGCAGCCUCAAAAUCCACGUGCUGCUAAUGAGUAACCAGCCUCACCUGUGGUGUUUUUCAGACAACAUGUAGUGACAAGUCUUGGACUGCCAUGUUUUGGAGUUUACACCCGCAAACUUCUCCCAUUGGCAUUAGAUGGCUGACAGACUAUCAUGCAUAUGUUAAUGUAAAAUCAUGGUAUAACAUUUGGUAUUUAUAGGGAUCGAUGAGUUUGCAGAUUAUUUCCAACAGUUUUGACCUUAGAUGGCUUUCCAUUCUGUGAAACAUGAGCUCGAAAUUUUCAAAUGAAGCCAGAUCAUUUUACCAUGUACCGAAGUUCAUAGUAUUGUUACUGAUCUGAUGCUCUGUCCCUUAACUUGAAUUGGUGUAAACAUGUAAAGAAUUGAUUGAGCAAAUUUUUAACUAUAUCAAUGAAGUAAACGUAUUGCUUUGCUGACAGUGAGGUCUUAGAAUCAGAUGGUAGGCAAAUGGCCAAAUGUAUGCAUGCUGCUGAAAUUUUUGUUGUUUUGCAACUUCUGAAGUCCCUUAUGUACUUAGAUAUAUAGUGUCAAGUUAUCUGCUUGGGUUAUUUAUGUUACUUGUU
Phragmites australis (common reed) is the source of this 2573-nucleotide RNA transcript. RefSeq lists it as uncharacterized. Lineage: Eukaryota; Viridiplantae; Streptophyta; Magnoliopsida; Poales; Poaceae. The transcript has 9 exons. The record is from RefSeq and is a predicted model, not a curated record.